This 67-nucleotide transfer RNA is filed under the name Heliconius melpomene (postman butterfly). Its description in RNAcentral is "tRNA HMEL014648". Lineage: Eukaryota; Metazoa; Arthropoda; Insecta; Lepidoptera; Nymphalidae. The record is from RNAcentral.
UCCUGGCGCAGUGGUAAUGCGUCCGACUGUAAACGUGAUGGGUAUGCGUUCGAUUCUCAUUCAGGAG